RNAcentral lists this ribosomal RNA (549 nucleotides) under Salmonella enterica subsp. enterica serovar Kentucky. Its description in RNAcentral is "partial 23S ribosomal RNA". It matches the Rfam family "Bacterial large subunit ribosomal RNA", at positions 993 to 1544 of the family's 2925-position model. The record is from RNAcentral. Lineage: Bacteria; Pseudomonadati; Pseudomonadota; Gammaproteobacteria; Enterobacterales; Enterobacteriaceae.
GGGUGCUAACGUCCGUCGUGAAGAGGGAAACAACCCAGACCGCCAGCUAAGGUCCCAAAGUCAUGGUUAAGUGGGAAACGAUGUGGGAAGGCCCAGACAGCCAGGAUGUUGGCUUAGAAGCAGCCAUCAUUUAAAGAAAGCGUAAUAGCUCACUGGUCGAGUCGGCCUGCGCGGAAGAUGUAACGGGGCUAAACCAUGCACCGAAGCUGCGGCAGCGACGCUGAUGCGUUGUUGGGUAGGGGAGCGUUCUGUAAGCCUGUGAAGGUGGCCUGUGAGGGUUGCUGGAGGUAUCAGAAGUGCGAAUGCUGACAUAAGUAACGAUAAAGCGGGUGAAAAGCCCGCUCGCCGGAAGACCAAGGGUUCCUGUCCAACGUUAAUCGGGGCAGGGUGAGUCGACCCCUAAGGCGAGGCCGAAAGGCGUAGUCGAUGGGAAACGGGUUAAUAUUCCCGUACUUGGUGUUACUGCGAAGGGGGGACGGAGAAGGCUAUGUUGGCCGGGCGACGGUUGUCCCGGUUUAAGCGUGUAGGUGUGUGUUCCAGGUAAAUCCG